CAAGGCACGGAGUUCCGACCCUGGCCAGAAUGGGAUCGCGCUCCGCGAGCUGUGAGUGAGUGAAACACACCCUCGGUUCCGUCCGAAAGAAAGUCCGGAAGAAAAGAGCACAGACCUGGAUACAAGUACCUGCCCCCGGGCACCGGGCAGGGCGCACAGAGGGGACUGAUUGUGACGCAGAGGGUGCGGCCCAACCCCACGGCGCGAGGGAGCGCAGCCAGCCUCCCCAGCUUCCCUUCGGGGGUUCGCUUGGAGACUCACUGCCCAGCGCCCUUCUGUCCGAGCGAGGCCCGGGCUGACCAGCGCUCUACCCAGUGAGCUGCCCUUUGGGAAGUGGGGUCUGAGGCCAAGUGACAAGCCCUCGGUCAAGGCGUGUAGCGUGAGUGUAGCUCAGAUAUGGGCCACCUGCCUCUCCUGUCCCAACGCAGCUCUGGAAGGGUCUCCACCGAGCCCUGCUCUGCAACCGCAGACUUCUGCUUUCUCUCAGCCCCAUUUGCUGCCUCCCCCCUGCUGGCUCAUCCCCAUUUCCUCC
Acinonyx jubatus (cheetah) is the source of this 532-nucleotide long non-coding RNA. RefSeq lists it as uncharacterized. The transcript has 3 exons. The record is from RefSeq and is a predicted model, not a curated record. NCBI's taxonomy places the organism in Eukaryota, Metazoa, Chordata, Mammalia, Carnivora, Felidae.